CCUUAGCACAUACUUGGUGAGAAUCCACAACGAUGAUAGAUACGUCUCCUUAGCCACGAAAUUUAUAGAAGAGGUGAAACAAAAAAUCAGCAAUAUUUUGCAAAACAGGUGAAGGGAAUAAAGUAUUUUUGAUACAGAUAGCUGGCAUAUCCUUAUGAACAUACUUGGUGAGAAUCCCAGAUAAUCUCACACAGUAGUCGAACUCUGGUUGCUGGGUGCACCGCCGUGAACCCAAUCACUGGGCUUUGCCCCGUCCUCGUCACAGCUACGACUUCGAUCUUAAAUAUAUUAAUACUGUUUCCCGGUAUAAUAUAUUGAUAUUGUUUGGUAUAUUGGAAGUUGAAACCCGUCGCUCUCUGCGUCUCCCGGUCGCAGCUCUCAGCCUCUCCCCCGCCGCCUCCCAUCCCCUUUCCCUCGCACAGCCGGCGUCAGAUUCCGUCGCGGUCCGCCACUCCGGCCGCCGCCUAGCACGGCCACGACCACGGGCUGAUCUACCACUUCCACCAUAUGGAUUCGGUCUUCCCCGCCACCACCGCUCGCGCGCCGUACUAGGGUUUCCGGCUGCUCCAUGGACAAGCAGCUGCAGCUCCUCCCCGACACAACCGCUGCUAGGUUUCAUUGCAAUAUCAAAAGCUUUUUUACAGGUCCUCUUAUAUAAAUAAAUGCCUCUCAUGACAUAUCAUUGGCAAUGUUAAAGAUACGUGUCAGACCCAGCUGAUCGUGACGAACACAAGCUGUAGUUCAGAGAGGAAUUCAAUUGCAUUUCAGGGGCGAAUUGCCGAGGAUUUAUCUUACAACCAGAGGCACCUAAGCCGGCCAGGAACACUGGCGGGGCGAUGGGGAAACCCUACAUAUGAUAGUGCUCUACCGAGCCGGAAUCCAUGGCUUUAUAGCCUUACACAAAAGGGGUAAAAAUUCAGGGAAAAGCGGUAAAAAGAUGAUGAUGCGCUCUCCUGCAGAAGCUCACGGCGUCAGCUGAACACGGAGGUACGUUGGCCGUCGGAUCGGAGAUCAACGCCUCCCGCAACUUCAAUGCUGUAGCGCGCCCUCCACCCUGUCUUUUAACACAUGGAGACCUACAGUGAAUUCUUGGCAGUUUUGAAUAGAGAGAUCCCUGUAACUCGUAACUUUGACCUGCAAUGAAGUAUUCAAAGUUUCGAAUACAGAUUUUAUGCUUUCUGUUGUAAGCCUCCCCCUACAUGCGGGAUGCUGUACAUACAAUUGCACGCAUGAUACCAGUGAAUAUUUUGCAUA
Long non-coding RNA from Hordeum vulgare subsp. vulgare (domesticated barley), 1254 nucleotides. RefSeq lists it as uncharacterized. The record is from RefSeq and is a predicted model, not a curated record. The transcript is spliced from 2 exons. Lineage: Eukaryota; Viridiplantae; Streptophyta; Magnoliopsida; Poales; Poaceae.